CCUACGGGAGGCAGCAGUGGGGAAUAUUGGACAAUGGGCGAAAGCCUGAUCCAGCCAUGCCGCGUGUGUGAAGAAGGCCUUCGGGUUGUAAAGCACUUUCAGUGGGGAAGAAAGCCUUGGGGCUAAUACCCUCGAUGAAGGACAUCACCCACAGAAGAAGCACCGGCUAACUCCGUGCCAGCAGCCGCGGUAAUACGGAGGGUGCGAGCGUUAAUCGGAAUUACUGGGCGUAAAGCGCGCGUAGGCGGUCUGAUAAGCCGGUUGUGAAAGCCCCGGGCUCAACCUGGGAACGGCAUCCGGAACUGUCAGGCUAGAGUGCAGGAGAGGAAGGUAGAAUUCCCGGUGUAGCGGUGAAAUGCGUAGAGAUCGGGAGGAAUACCAGUGGCGAAGGCGGCCUUCUGGACUGACACUGACGCUGAGGUGCGAAAGCGUGGGUAGCAAACAGGAUUAGAUACCCGUGUAGUC
This 465-nucleotide ribosomal RNA is filed under the name Vreelandella stevensii. Its description in RNAcentral is "partial 16S ribosomal RNA". It matches the Rfam family "Bacterial small subunit ribosomal RNA", at positions 338 to 795 of the family's 1533-position model. Lineage: Bacteria; Pseudomonadati; Pseudomonadota; Gammaproteobacteria; Oceanospirillales; Halomonadaceae. The record is from RNAcentral.